UUUCAUCAAAUAAUUUUUUUCUUUCUUCCUACGUGUUUCUUUCUUUUCUCCGACUGAUUUUUACUGUGGUAAUAAACUAUUAAAUCAAUUUUGGUUGAACUUAAUUGAUUACUAAAAAUGACUUAGUUAGGUAGCAUUUUUAUAAUCAAGUCCAAUCAAGUUGGUGCAAUCCAACGAAAAAAUGUGCAUAUCAGUCCCCACUUCUCUUUUUUCACACUUUUUAUAUCACAAAUUUUUAUUAGAAAGUACAAAAAUUUAUUAAAACAUUAAUUUUUGAAGCAUAACAAAAAAAAUUCAUAUAACAUAGACUUAUCUAUAAAAAUUUUGACAUAUAAUACAAAAAUUUUGUACAUAGUACAAUUUUUUUUACCAAUGUGUUUGGUUAGUUGAGUGAAUUAAUAUUCUGACGGAUAAAAAAUAUAAUUGAAAAGAUAUCAUACAGUCUCACUACAUGCGAGAUUUUUGGAUAAAGAAUAAGAUUGAAUAGAUAUCAUUUUCCACGGUAAUAUGUAUCGUAAGGAUAUUAACAGUAAUACCUAAAAUGAAAAUCUUGGCUCUGAAUAUUAUUUAAACAUAUCUUCACUAACAGUAAUAGCUAAUAAUUUUAACCAAGGUUUUGAGAACCGGACUGGUCAUCAAACUGCUUUAGUUACUGGUUCACUGAUUUACUGGUUCAACCGGUCUAAUCAUGGUUCAAUCAAAAAAAUCGUUUUAAAAUAAAAUAAUAAAUAAAUUAUAAAUAAACAUCCUAAAAUAUAAUUAUAGUCUGAUAUAUAUUUUAAAAUAUCUUCCAAACUUAUACCAUGAGACUCGGCCAAAUAAUCUCCAUGACCUAAGAGCAAUUAAGAAAUCACUAAGAGACCAACAAUAACAAACCAACCAAUUAUAGCAGUUCAUAACCCCCCAUGCAACAUAUUAGAGCCAGUGAAAUGGUUACCUUUUAUUUUUUACCCCAUUAUGCUUGUAAAGAAUACGGUAGUAUGGUACAUUACAUUAAUAACAACAUUAUGGAACCCAAAGUUCCUACAUGAAUUUUUUAUGACCACCAACCAACAAUUUAACAAGAACAACGACAGAGAGCCUCAUCCCACUAAAUGGGAUCCAUUACAUAAAUCAAAUAACAACAUUACAUCCUAUAUGUACUUAGCAUAUUUAACAUAGCCCCGAAACUUAAAGAGAAAUUAACACUAUAAGAUUAAUAUUAAGACUUGAAUGAAUAACUUCAAAAAACAUUUUUUAUGUGAUAUGUAACUCAAAGAUAUGUGAAGCUCAAAACAAUAUCUAAAAUUAUUUCAUAAAACACAAUCUCUGAAAUUAAGAAACUCUUCAUUUGGGCAAAGAAAACCUAACCACAGCAGGUGCAGCUUGAAUUGCUGAAUCAAAAACUUCAUGUAAUGUUUGCUCACUUUUCCCAAAAUACUGGGUAACAAUUUUAGGUCCAUUUAUAUGGAAAAAUUUACCCCAACAUCAUGAGCACAUAAUUGAGCCAAGGAAGUCCUCCCUGUACUAGGUGGACCAUGUAGAAGGACUCCUCUUGUGAUACGUAAACCAAAUCAUGAAGACAAUCACCAUCUAAGCAUAAUUAAGUCACAAAACAGUGAAGCACAAACACAAACACACACAAAACAACAGCAAUUCAAUUUCCAGCAGCACAUCACUUUGCAAAGCAAUCACAAAACACAAAACAUCAGCACAACAACAGCACAACAGAAAACAGUAAAGUAAAACACAACACAGCAAAAUCAACAGAACAUCAGUAAUCCUGAUCAAUAAUCAAAAGACAUUCAAUAAUUAAUUAUCAUAAGACCUUCAAUAAUCAGCGAAAUCACCACACACAAAACAGGAACAGAACAGAACCAGAGCUCAUCAGUAAUCAAAUAAUCAUUCAAAAAAAUUAACAUAAAAAAUCAAAUAAUCAGUAAUCAAAGAAGAGAGCAGGGGUUGCAGACUUUUACAACGGCACGAGAGAGCAGCCCUGCGUGCGACGGACGAUGGCAGUGGCUCGACGGACAGACGAACAACGGCUGAGUCUAGGGUUUUUAACUUUUUCUUUGGUUGAGAGGACUUGAGUUCUGGAGAGUAGAGAAGGAGAGAAGGGGGCAAGGGGCUCUCAGCGCUACCAAAGCUUUGUUUAUUUUUUCUGGGUUGUAAACGAAACGGCGACGAGACGACGGCGAGCUGCUCCAAGGCUUGAACAGAGAAGCUAGGGAUGGGGAUGACGUGCCGCGCUAGAAUAGAGGUCCUGGGUUUUGGCUCGGGAAAGGAGGAACCCGCGGAGGUGCUGACAACCACGCACGACGGUAGUAGAAUCGUUGAGGAGGAGGCUAGGGUCUUGGUUUGUCAGUAUUGUGAACUUUGCUUCAUAAGGGGAUGAGAUGAGUGUGGCAUUCGCGAAUGAGAGAGGGGUGUUGGGGGAAGGGGGUGACCGGGUGAGAGUGACGUGUUGGUUUUCCUUUUUUUCUUUUUUCCAAAAAACUCUAAACGGCGUCGUUUUUAAGGAACCGGUCGGUUUUCGGUUCGACCCAACCGGCCGGUUCUCGGCCGGUUCAAUAAUUUUUAAACGGUUCUUGACAAAGUGGUUAUAGACAGUGGAUCGGUCCAUUUUUUGUUGUCAGUUCCCGGUUGAACCGGUUCAACUGGUCGGUCCGAUCCGGUCCAAUUUUCAGAAUAUUGGUUUUGAUGCUGAAGGGGGAGAACCGGAGCUUUAAAAACCCGUUCGGUUCAGCCGGUUCACCGAUUAACCGACGGUUCGACCAGUGUUUUAACCGAUUUUUUGCCAAACGGUUUUGGGAGUUAACCGAACCGGCUAGAUGACCGGUUCGCGGUUAACCCGGUCGAACCGGUCGGUCCGGUCCGGUUUUCAUAACCUUGUUUAGAACACACACAAUAACACUGUAAUUUACUAAAUUUGAAACUGCAAUAGCUUUCAAUGACAUAAAUGAACAUCAUUCUCCAACAAAACUAAAAUAAAUUCAACCCUUUUCCCUUUACAGAUUACAAUUAUGAAAAAUGAAUUAAUAAUGAUCAGAAUUCAUAUAUUCAGAGCUCAGACUAUCACAGAACAACUAAAGAAUGCAGUAAGCCAGUAACAAACUCAAGUAACAACAAUGAAAUUUUUCUUAUAAAAUAUACCUGAAUGGAGCAGAGAAGCGGCGCAAUCGUGCAGGUAGAGAAGCGGCGUAGUCGUGCAGGGAGAGAAGCGGCGCAGUCGUGCAGGGACGUCCGGAUGUGUGCGGUUGUGCACAAAUGAACAACGGCAGAGGACACAACGAACGGUGCCAGAGACUUGACAUGCAUCAAAGCAGAAUAGAGAGCGAGACUGCGAGAGUACGGAGAAGCAGAGCAGAAAGUAGAGAGCGACGUGCAGCUGUGUGCGUAACCGAGCAAACGAAGGAGAUGCAGGUGACCGGCAGCGAAUGGCGGACGGCAGAGGUCAAAUCAUUGAGAGAGUGAGAGUGAGAGAAGAGUGAGUGACCGAGCCAAUUAGGAAAGUGGCGCCCUUUAAUCCCCAAGUAUGCUUGGCAACGUCCGAUACAAAGCGACCGAUUAGAACAACGGGUGGCAAAUUGGGUAAUUUGUAAAGGAAAAGUUCGAUUGUAGAAUCAAAAAGUUCAAAAUUUACAGAAAAGGAAGAGAGAAAAAGAAAAAGAAGAAGAACGAAUUACAGUUCGGGCGGAACAAAAGAAAGUGCAGUUGUUGUGUGACGAACGGAGAUGGACAAGUUGGAAAUCGAAUAUCCUUCGCCUUUCUCUCUCUUUUUCUAUUUCUGUCUCAGAAAAUAACAAUUAUCGUGCGUUCCUCCAGGCUCCACACCAUAAAAAUCCUAUCUAGGUCGCACUACUGUACAGAUGUAAGCUCAUACAGAUUUACAGAUAUUCCAUUUCCGUGCAUUUGCUGUUGACGCGUGUUGUCUUCCUUUUGCAGAAUGGAGCAGGUUGUCAGCAAGCUGCGGGCGCUCAUGGGAUGGUCGGCCGAGCCGAGUUGGUAGCGUGAAUUGGCACGGGAUCUCAUUGUGCUGGGUUCCGUAGGUGCCUGCUUCGCAAGUUGGGCCUUAUUGGUCGUUCCAAAAAAGAAAUAGAUGAAACGGAUGCAGGUCGAGUCUUCAAGUCACUCUUCUCCUCUCGUGAAAGCAAACCCGAGCUUCCUCCAACGCGACCGCCACCUCUGGUCUUGUCACUGUGGCUGUCAGUGGCGCUCGAGAUCUGCGACUGUUCGUCGUGGUCAAGGUCAUCUCCCCAUUCGCCAAUCACCAUUCUUCAUCAUAGUCGCAUAGUGGUGCUGCCCCGACCCAUCAUCGUGAUUACUGUGUUCAGUAGCGCUCUGCCCGCCGUCCCUCAUCGUGCUCGUCGUCCGCCGUGCUUGUGAGUCGAAGAUUGGAAUAUACAAUUAUAAGUUGACAUCUAUAUCCUUGUAGGGUCCCUUGAAUUCUAUGGCUCCUAGCCAUGAUGGGUUUUUUGGAACUCAGCAAAGCAUUCAUGGGCUGGGAGGGCAACUGGAAUUCCACCCUGCCACUUCUUUCGGAUAUAGCCUUCAGGUUUGUUCAUGGAAUGUGCUAUGUUCUAAUAUUUUGAAAUUGGAAUUACAAAUUGUUUUUUAUUUAUUUUGUUUUUGGAAUUGGAUCAUGAUAGCAUGUGAUAUAUCAUAUAAGUAGCCAAGUUAAUGUAUGAUAGCAUAGUUAGUAUAUAGUGAUAUGGUGUUAGAGAUGAACUUGUCAACAAUAUAACAAGCAAUGGUGAAACUUGUUAGUGUUACAUAAUGUAAUCUUGCUAGUACAUAGUACUUAAAUUUUCACCCUGUUGUAGUGUUUGAUGGUUACAUGGUUAUUGUUUGAAUC
Arachis ipaensis is the source of this 4834-nucleotide non-coding RNA. NCBI's taxonomy places the organism in Eukaryota, Viridiplantae, Streptophyta, Magnoliopsida, Fabales, Fabaceae. The record is from RefSeq and is a predicted model, not a curated record.